This is a non-coding RNA of Callithrix jacchus (white-tufted-ear marmoset), 12663 nucleotides long. NCBI's taxonomy places the organism in Eukaryota, Metazoa, Chordata, Mammalia, Primates, Cebidae. The record is from RefSeq and is a predicted model, not a curated record.
CCCUGCCCCCAGCUCUGCAUCAGGCAAAGCUGGGCUUGCCCCUGCUGGAGAGGCAGCCACCAUGGUGGGCCGGAAUGGGACGUCCUGUGACCCAGGCAGUAUGGGCUGAGCCCUGGGAACCAAAGGGCACAGGCAGGAUCGGCCAUGGGAUCCCAGCCUUGGUCCUCCACAGUAAGCUCCACAAAGGCAGGAAAGUCUGUCCGGUGUAGGACAGUGGCUGGCACACAAGGUUCAUGGGUAAACACUUGUCAGAUGAGUGAGGCUCAGAGACACGCGGUGCUCAAGGUCACACAGGGAGUCAGUCAGGGAGGAGGUGUAAAAGCAGAGCCAAGGCUCCAAGGCUGCAGUGGACAGCAAAUCCAAAGAAGUGUUCCACUCAAUUCUGGGCCCCUAGUCCCCUAACUGCAUUAGCUCCAGGAUGGAUGGGUGACAGCGAUGGAUGGAUGGACGGGCGGCUGGAUGGACAGAGUGGCAGGUGAGUGAAGGGAGUAGAGUAGAUGGGCGGAUGGACAGACAGACAGGUCGAGGGGCAGAUCCCACAGUGGGGAAGGGCUCAGCCUGUCAGGUGAGAUAGCCUGGGUUCAAACCCCAGCACUGCCACUCUCCAGGCAUGUGUCCUUGGGGGAGUCACAUAAACUGGCUGUGCCCCAGAGUCCUCAUCUCAUCUGUAAAAGGGCAGUAAUGAUGGUCCCCUCACAGGGUUACUGUGAGGAGCUUAGAACGGAGAAGGAGCUAUGUGUGUGUGUGUGUGUGUGUGUGUGUGUGUGUGUGUGUGUGUGUGUGUGUGCUGGUCUCCUGGCAGUGUUGAUAACGGCUGGGCAGAGACAGAUGAAAAGGGAGUCUGGCUGGUGAGCCAGUGGUAGGCAGACAGGCCCAUGAGCAGACUCACAUGCAGAUUGGUGGCCAAUGGGGUGGGCAGGCAGUGGGCUAUGCAACUGUGGAAGGGCCCGGGAGAUCACAUCCUCCCCAGUGGUGCUUGGGAGAUCUCAGCUCAGCUGUCAGACCUCCAGGCAGCCUUCCUGCCCAGUCCUGCAAGCCAGUGAUGACAAGUGCUCACUGGGUUUCCUGAAUUCCUUCCCUGCCAUCCCAACCCAGGUACACCCUUCCUGGUGGUGGACCAUGUGGUCUCUGGAGGCUCAGAUCUAGCUCCAAGUAGGGGUUAAUUGCCUGAGUGAAGGGAUCAUUUGUGGGGCCCUCUGAGUUCCAAGUUGCUUCAGCCAGUUAGGGCAGCUCCCCUCUUCCAGAGUCCCAGCCCCCGGCCCACCUGGCAUGGAACAGUCCUAAGCAGGGCUGUAACACUGUGUUCCUUAGUUAUUCAAAGCCUCCAGGAGGAUCCAACCCCCAGAGCCUCUCUGUUCACCCAUGGGGCUCUGCAGUUUCUGGGGUGUGGAGUUUCCUGGGUCUUUCUGGAGUACAGAACAAAAAAGCCUGAAGUAUCUUCCAGAGUAAAGGGCUGCAUACAUAUGCACACAUCUAUGCCAGCAGAUAGCCACCCAUCUUCCCAUAAACAUAGCCAUCCAUCCACCCACCCAGCCACCCACACACACAGCCAUCCACCACCUAGCCACCCAUACACCCAGCCACCCAGUCAUCCAGCUAUCGAGCCACCCAGCCACCCACACAGCCAGCCACCCACACACACAGCCAUCCACCACCUAGCCACCCAUACACCCAGCCACCCAGCCAUCCAGCUAUCCAGCCAACCAGCCACCCACACACCUAGCCACCCAGCCACCCACACACAUAGCCAUCCACCACCUAGCCACCCAUACACCCAGCCAUCCAGUCACCCACACACCCAGCCACCCAGCCACUCAACGAUCCAGUCACCCAGCCACCCACACACCCAGCCACCCACCACCCACACACUCACACACCCAGCCACCCAGCCAUCCAGCCACCCACCCACCCAGCCACCUACCACCCAGCCACCCACACACCCAGCCACCCAUACACCCUAUGUUUCCUGAGUACUUGUCCAUACAUAUGCCAUAUGCCAGGCACUCCCCUUGAUCCAGGGAUCCAUAUGUCAGUGAAGGCACUGGACAGAGCCUUGCCCUUAUGAUGCUGACAUGCAGUCAGGGAAGAUACAAGAAACUAAUAAUGCAUGAACAUUUAACAUGAUAGCAGGCCGUCAUCAAUCCGUGAGGGAAAACAAAGCAAGAUGGGGGCUUACAGGAAGCUGGGGCUCUUAGGGAGGUCAGCUUGGAUGCCCCAAACCUCCACAUGCAUCCUCAGGCACCCAUGCCCCCAUGCAUGUGAGCACAUGUGUACACAUGGUCACACAUGUGCACACAGGCCCUCCAUGAGGCCCCAUAGCACUGUUGUGUCUCCAAAGGCGUGGCCCCUGCCAGCCCUCUCUGGGAGGUCUGGCUGCCUCACGCCUCUCUCAGUCUGGGCCCUCCGGUGACCCAGGCCAGGCCUGCUCCCUGGAGCCCAAGGCACAUCUGUGUUGUGCUAGGUCUGCUAGCAAAGAACCUGGGUGGCUCCUAUGCAACCAACAAUUCCGAUCCACAAUCCUUCCCUGCGCUGGUCUGAGUUAAGGCUAGAAACAGUUGAAUUCAGCAGCAUCACCCCUGUCCUCCCACACAGGGAACUCCCAACCCCAGGCCCUGGGAGAAGGAACAGACACACGCAAAUGUGUGAAUGCAGCUCCAACACUCACUGGAAGGAGAGAUGACACUGUCUGGGGAGUCUGGGAAGGCUGGUCAGAGGAGGUGAUGCCUCAUUAGGGUUUGGAGAGGGAGGUUCCAGCAGGGUCGGCCUCCCACACAUGAAGGGCCUUUGAUGUAGACACUGGACGUCCUUCCCCAGGGAAGUAGCUCAUUCAGUCAUGGGACAUUUCAAGGUGGGAAGAAGGUGUUCAUCACACGGCUGUGAUCACGUGCCCAUAUGCAGACCACUCUGUCCUGGGUGCAUGAGGAGUUCAUCUCUUAAAUCCAUGGUUCUCAACAAGGACAGUCCUCCCUCCCCAUGGGACAUUUGGCAAUGACUGGAGGAGUUGCUACUGGCAUCUCCUGGAUGGAGGCCAGGCAGGGCUGUUGGUAAACAUCCCAGUCUAGUGCACAGGACAGCCUCCACCACAAAGAAUCAUCCAGCCCCAAAUGUCAGCAGCACCAAGGUUGAGAACUCUGUCCUAAACCCUGAAAUUUUCAUUUGAUAAGUGCAAUUAUAAUGCAAUGUCUUUUUGAUGCACCAAAGGCAUUAAUGUCUUCAAUGUGAAUAUUUAAAACACACAGGUGACCUGUUUGGUGAUUUAUUUCUUAAUAAAGCAGGAGUCUUAAAACAUGGGAGUGGUUCCAUGAAAGGCAACAGCAUGCACUGGGCUCAGUGGCUCAGUGGCAAGACAGCAAGCAUCUGUAUUCGACUGCACCUGGAACGAAGGGGAUGAUGGGAAUAGAGCCCAGAGAGGGGCAGGGGCUGCACCAGGCAGAACUCAGAUGCCAGGCGACAGAGCGUGAAUUGUAUCCUGGAGGGAGAGACCUUGAGAAAAUUUAAAGCAAGGGGAGGAUGGGAUCCAUAGCAUGUCCUAGAAAGAGCUCUCAAUGAGAUUCAAUUUUAUACCCACGAAAUUGGUAAAAAUGUCAGUUUGACAUUGCCAAGUGUUGACAAGGAAAUGGAGCAACUAGAAUUCUUAUACCCUGCUGGUGGGAACAUGUAUUGGAACAACCAAUUUGGAAAAUCCUUUGGCCUUCUUUUUUUUUCAUUUUUCAAACAGGGUCUCAUUCUGUCACUCAGCCUGGAGUGCAGUGACACAAUCACAACCCACUACAGCCUUGACCUCCCAGGCACAGUGAUUCUCCCACCUCUGCCUCCUGGGACUACUGAUGUGCACCACCAUGCCUGGAUAAUUUUUUGUAUUUCUUUUUUGUAGAGAUGGGGUUUCACUGUUACCUAGGUUGGUCCUGAACUCCUGUCCUCAAGUGAUCCUCACACCUUGACCUCCCAAAGUGCUAGGAUUACAGGCGUGAGCCACUAUACCUGGUCCUUUGGCAUCUUAUAGACGUGAAUGUAAGGUCUCUUGUCUCAGUAAUUGCACUUAUAAAGCAAUUAUGCCCCCAGGGAAACCCUCACACAUGGGCAUAUGGACAAGAACACUCCUUGCUGCACUGUUUAUGGUAGUGGUAGAAGGGAGUGACUAAAACGUCCAUCUUAAAGAGAAUGAGCAAAUACACUGUGUUACAGUUUUGAGGGGACUAUGACACUACAGUGAGAAGGAGCAGACUCCAUGUGUGAGCAGGGAGGUGCAGCCCCAGCACAGCAGUGAGCAACACAAGCCAGUCAUUGAAAGCAUCGCUGUGACACCACUUAUAGAAAACAUGCAGGAUAAUGCAUUCAAGAUUUAUACAUAUAGAGUAAAAGCAUAACAACAUGCAUGGGAAAAUGAAGCCCUGGCUACCUCUGGAGUUGGGGAAGGGGGACAAGAGGGUCAUGAGGGUUCCAUGAUCUCUGUGGUGUUUCCUCCCUAAGCUGGGCUGGGGAGGGUAUCAGGGGGACUUGACUCUGCCCCUACUUUUCUAACUCCUGGAGUUUGUGCCCUGGAGAGUGAGCAGGAACAUGACCUGUGUACCACCAAUAGCAUAUGCAAGGUGGGGGGAUGUUAUCCGGGCUGUGCUUCACCAGCUCUCUUGACGCCUCUGUCAGCUGCGGUCUGUGCAGGAGUCAGCUGCCGAGAUUCCUGCAGCUGCAGGGAGGUGAGCUCUGCCCGUAACCUGGAGGGGCUGUGAUGCAGAUCCUUUCCUAGUCAAGCCUCUAGGAAGACUGGCCUUCUCUGAUGAGAAGCCAGCCCUGGUCAGUAGGUGGAUUGCAACCUGGUGAGGUCCUGGGGAGAAGCUAGGGCCAAGCAACAUCUGGGCUCAUGGCCCAUGGAAACUGUGAGAUACUAAACACGUGUGGUUUCAAGGGGAGAGGUGUGUAGUGGUUUGUGAUGCAGCAUAGAAAAUCAGUAUCAAGGCUACCGUGGUGUUGUUUAUAUUGUUAGCUAUACUUUUGGAUAUCUGAAAUAUUUCAUAAUUAAGAGGUUAAGAAAGGCCCCUGUAGGAAGAAGAGACAGUCUGGAGGCUGGGAGGCCCAGGAGGAGCUGGCACAAUGGAGAGGGGACAGGCUGGGCAGUGCAAGGUGAGGAAGCAGGAUAGGGCUGGUGUCAGGACCAGUGGGGUGUGUGUGUGUGUGUGUGUAGCAAGCCCCCUUCAUGCCUGAUUCUGAGGAAAGGGAGGGGCCCAUGCCAGCAUCCCCUCAAAGCCUAGGAGACCUGGAUCCCAGCCUCACAGCAUUAGAACAUCAGAACAGCCGGACCUAGCAGGGCAGGGGCCAGAGAGAAGGAGCAAAGGCAGCAUUUUCCCAGGGUCCCCUGGGGAGCCUGGCAGUGUGGGCUGGGGGUGGGGCAGGGAAGGACAGAUGGGGCUGUGGGAGGGAGCAGCUGCCUCUCCCCUCUCCAGGGAUGCCCAUUCCCCAACUUCAGCCCGCAUACCAGUGGGAGAGAUGGUGAGACCCUCCCCCCUCCUUGCUCCCACUGAUCUUCAGUUUCCCUAGUGAUACUGGAGGGAUGAUCUCUGAGGACCCCCCUGAGUUGGGUGGGAUAGAGAAAGACAUGAGAACACCUACAGAUAGCCUAGGUCACCCCACUGGCACUCCCCCUGGUCCUGGCAGCCUUGGUUCUGUGGGAGAAGGAGGAACAGAAAGAGCAGGCAGUUUGCCCAGGGUCCCCAAACACCCUCAUCUUCUAGCAGUGGAGGUGGGCUUGAGGGCUCAGUCAGAGCCCCCAUUAGGCUACCCAGGAUGAGCCUAGAGUGGGGAAUAAAAUGGCAUUAGAAGGGUGUCCUUGCUGGGUGGUUUCUUCAAGACCUUCUGUCUUCCUCAUAUUAUCCUUCCAAUGACCCUGAAAGAUGUGGUCUUGUUUGACUGAUGAGGAGCCAGGGAUCAGAGAGGCCAAGCCACUUGCUCGAGCCUGCACAGCAAGGGGGAGUCAGGUCUGUGUUUUGUAAGGGGCUUUACCCUGAGUGGCCUUAGUUAGGGACCAGGAAGGCCUGAAGGGCCCCAAGGAAAGAACUCAGAUAAAGCUUCCCUAGGAUCCUUGAUCAGGGUUUUGAAGAGUGAAGAGAAAUUCCCCAGGCUGAUCUAAAUGAGAGAACAUCCCAGGGAGAGAAACCAGCUAGGAACAAGACAGAGAAGACAGGUUUUUGUGAAUGACUAAGUUUUAAAUUACGCAUGUGGCAUAUACUCAGAACAUAUCAAAACAACAGCCCACAGUUAUAAAGGGAAAAGAGCCCCUUCCGCGCCCCGGGUCUGCAUCACACCUCAGAACUAACAACUACCAUCAUCCAGGUACACGUCUUCUCAGGCGUUUUUCUAUCUCUAGACAAAUAUUGUAAAAACAAAAACAAGAGUUCACUUUACAUAUUGUUUUCCAACUUGCUUAUUUUCAUGUAUCCUAGUGUUUCUGUGAGAUGUACAGGAGGAAGCUUGCCGGGCAGGAGAGCAUGCAAAACCUAGAUUAUUUCUGCCCGUGCAAGGCAUCUCCAGGCUGCUUCUCCACACCUGCCCGGUCUUUUCUGUGUCUGCUAAGAUGAGAGGGGGAAAGUGGUGCCCCAUGUGGAAUGGGCAUGGAUCUGAUCAUUUGUGAGACGGAACACCCAUCGAGAUGUCUAGUGGCUGUGGAUUCCCAGUGCUGUUGGGGAUGUCCUCUUGUGUAUCCUUCCUGUCUCCUUCCACCGCUUGUUACGUGAAUCUCCUAAUUUGAAAUCAUUUGCUACUCAUUCACAUUUUGUAAAACCUCAUGCUGCCCAAACACAUUUUCCUGCUGUCUAGACAAAACAGUCAGCAUUCACCAAGUGAGAUGCUAACCAACUAGUCGUUCCGACGCCACUGGAUUGGGUAACCCUCCACCUUUGCAUUGAUUCAGAAUGUCUCCUUUAUCACCCAUUAUCUUGUAAAUAAUAGGGUCUGUUGCGGGGUUUACUGAGUCUGUAACAUUGAUCUGUUUAUUCUUACAGCGGGACCACAAGGUUUGAACGAUUGUGAUAAUAGAAUCUUGUUUAAUAUCGGAAAGCAUUUCCCUCUUACACACACACACAUUUUCUCUCUCACACACCUCACUUAUUUUUCCUAAGUUUUGACUUAUUCUGAUCUUGUUAGUUUUUCGAGAUAAAGUUUGAAAUCAUUUGUCAUUUUGCCUUUAAAAAAAAAAUCCCAGCAGAGUUUUAAUCGAACUGUCCCGUAUGAGAACUCAUUUAGGCUCUACCCACCUCCUCCACCUGCUGUCCCUCGUCUUUCCCGCUCCUCAGGUGACUCUGUACCUGUGUCAGGCAGAUGGCAGGCAUCACCCAGGGGUGGCGUCCAUUUCUGUGGCCCUGAGGACCCUUCCCCAUCCUAGCACUGGGUCACCAGAGGGGUAGGAGAUGCUAUGGGAAAGAACAGCACUGCUCCCUAAGAAUUACAAAGGGCACUUUAUUUCUUCCUACAAAUGGACAUCAAAGCCAGGCCUGGAAGUGUCUGUCCCUGUGCGAGGCAGGGAGGAAGGGGCCGGGCAAGCCGAGCUGAGUCCAGGACUGGCCAGCCCCACUGGGUACAAACGGAGGGAAGAAGGCCGAUCCACUCGGUCACCCUGGCACCAGGCCCUCGGGAAUCAUCGAGGGCACCCUGACCUGCUCAAGAUGGCCUUUUGCAGCUCCCGGCUUGCAUGCCUGGCCCUGCUUGGGCACUUUGUGGACACAAAAUUCAAACUGUUUACCAUACAGAGUGACUCGGGGAGGCAGGAAUCACUGUUAGAAGUGAAUUGUUUAAUGAAGGAGGGAAGAGAAGCUGUAAACUGCAGCCCCUGAGCCUCGGUUCUUUGCUCUGAAUUGACUUGCUGGGACUUGAAUCUGAGGCUCUCAGCCCGAUCUCUGCUCAACACCAUCCUCCAAGCUUCCCCACCUCUGGAUGCUGCCUCCUUGUGAGAAACAGCCCCUGCAAUUCAGGUGCAGUGGUUCACACCUGUAAUCCCAGCACUUUAGGAGACCGAGGCAGGCGGUUCCCUUGAGCUCAGGAGUUUGAGACCAGCUGGGGUAACAUAGCAAGAUCCUGUCUCUACAAAAAAAAAAAAAAAAAUUAGCUGGGCAUGGUGGUGCACACCUAUAGUCUUAGCUAUGUGGGAGAAUGGCUUGAGCCCAGAAGUUAGAGGCUGCAGUGAGCUAUGAUUGUACCUCUGCACUCCAGCCUGGGCGACAGAGUGAGACCCUGUCUCCAAAAAGGAAGGAAGAAAGAAAAAAGAAACAGCUCCUGCUUUCCAAGAGUUUCCUGGCAGUGAGUAGAGGGAGUUUGCCACAGGAACAAGAGUCUCUGUGUGUGUUAUUCCCCACCUAACACCAAGAACGAAUGAGGCUGAUGAACAUGUGCGGGAAAGUGAAUGCAUCUAGUCUACAGGUGACUGGGGUGCACCUAACACCAGCCACUGGGGACAUAGGGGACACAAGAAUGACCAGGCACAGCCCCUGCUCUCUUACAGCAGGUGUCACAAGGCGAAGGGAUGCUUUCAUCCACUUAUCCACUUGUUUCUGCUGGCUGCCCACCUCCCAGCACUCAUGAGAGAACCUGCCACUGUGUGCUGUAAAAAUGCUGGUUGACAGGAGGAAGGAAAUAAGCCAGGAGAGGAAAAGAGAAACGGAGGCCUCUUUUGAUGGCUAGUCUGGGUUAGGGGUCUGGAUUCUGGCCUUUGAGUCCCGAGGCAAGUUCUAGGUUCGGAUUUGGGAGUUCUAGGUUCUGGGACCUAGAUUCUAGACCCAAGACUCCAUGUCCUUAAUGGAGUUAUGGGUUCUGAGCUCCAAGCUCUAGGUUGUAGAUUUGGAGUUCCACCCCCAGGGCCCCAGGUUCUGGCUUUGUGUUCUGAGAACUGGAUUCUGAGGUCUGGGAUGUGGGCUCCCGUCUUAAAGGUCUUGGUAUGUUCUGAGUUCUGAGCCCCAGGCUGCAGGUUCUGGGUUGAAGGGUCCAGGCUCUCAGCUCUGUGUUUCAGGCUCUGGUUCUUGAGUUCUGGGGCGUAGGGCUAUGGCUCCUGGUUUGGGGAUCUAGGCUACAGGUUCUCGAUUCUAAGCUCUGGGGUCCAGGGCUGGCUCUGGGUUCUGGAUUUUGGGCCAGGCAAGUAGGAUGGUUCUCCAGAGGCCAAGUAGAGUUAUUAUUCAUGCUUCGUGCCUGGAAUGUAAGCCCCUUAAGGAGAUUCUUAUUUGUUUUAUCCCCUGCUGUACUCCAUGUCUACAACAGUGCAUGGCAUACAGGAGAUGUUCAACAGUACAUCCAUGCACAUGUGAACACCUGAUUACAGAAACACACAAUCCUGCCAUCAGGAUCCAGGGGCAUAGGAAAGAGGACCAUAUCUGCCCUCACUGUGGCUACAGCUGGCAGGAGGAGAGGAAGCCUCCUGCUCUGGAGCUACGGAGGGUGGAGGCCAGGGGGCUCAGGGCCAUUAUGCAUCAGGUAGGAGACACGUGUCUACCCUGCCAAGCCCUAGGCUGGCUCCUAUUUGUACUCAGUGUCAAAUCCACUGGGAAGGACAGGAGGGAGUACUGGUGGCAUACCAGGACAAGAGUGUCCAGAGGUCAAAGUCUAUCCUGAUGGGCUGGGGCAGCUGGGAAAAGAUGCUGACCUUCCCGGGACUUUGGCCUGCCCAGCUCUAAGUGAGGGACCUCCCAGUGUCAGCAGCAUGGUAUUGGGAAGAAUUAAAGGAAAAUCUCCUGGACCAAGUGGACAUCAGAGCCAUCAACAAACAAAGAUGGUAGCAAUCAGAAAUACCUGUCCUCAGGGCCCCUGGUGAAUAAAGACCCUGAUGGUCAAACAUAAUGACAACCAAGGUUAAGAGAAGCCAUGACUGACCAGAGAUGUACAAUCAGAGUGACUCCUCAUUAGGGACGGUGGAGUCGGCCAAGAGAUGAUGUCCAUCAAGCACAACCUAGUCAGGGAGGGGCAUGUCACAUGCUGGCCAUCAGGAGCCAGUGCUCAGAGGUCUUGGCAACCAGAAUCAUUGUUGAUCAAAUAUAUCAUCAAUCAUUGAUCAGGGGCAUGGGUGGCUUGAGCUGUGGGUGACCGGGAGCAUUAGUGGGGAAAGCAUAAGAUGUCCAUGUCCUUGAUGGCCAAAGGUACACGAGAUAUUAGUGACCAGAAUCAAUGACUGGAGACAUGGCGUCCAGAGAUCUUGAUGAAGAGAACCAGAUGCAGACCAUUAGGGAUCAAGGGCACUGGUAAGCAGAGGCAUCAAUGAUUAGAGAAUUCAGUGAUUAGAGACAUUGGUGACUGGGGAUGCUGAUGACCAAGGAUAUUAGUGACCAGGGAGGUCAGUGAUCAGAGGUAUAAGGGACUUUGAAAAAUGGGGACAUUGGUUAGCAGAGACUUUGAAGAAGAUUCAGCAAUCACUGAUGUUGGGCAUCAGAGACAUUGGUGAUAAGAGAUCUUGAUGAUCAGAGUUGAGCAAUCAGGGAUAUUGGGAACCAGAAACACCAGUGACUGCAUUGAUAGGAAAUUUGAUGGGGAGAGGAUCCUAUGAUCAGGGACACUGGUCAUCAGACAAAUGACUGGGGAGAGAGAAUGGUGAUCAGAAACAACUGAUCAAGGAUAUUGUUAAAGAAACACUGGUGAUAAGAAACAGUGUGAUCGGAGAUGUUGGAGAUCACAUGUGAAUGAUCAAUCUAUCUCGAGAAAAAACACUGAUCAAUCACACUGGUGGUCAUACUUAGAACAUUAGUGACAAAGCUCAUUGGUGAUCAACAUAUUGGUGAAAAGAGAUACUAUGAUCAGGCAUACUGGUGAGCAAAGACAGUCACUGGAGACAUUGGUGACCACAUUUUGUGGGUAUCAGUGAUCAGACACAUGGUUAAGAAGAGGCAUUAAUGAAAUAUUGGUGAUCAGUUGUUAGUCAUCAGGUAUCUCUGAUGGCAGGCUAUCAUGACCAGACAUGUCAUUAAUCUGGAAGGAAUAUCAGUAAUGGUGCCUAUCACUGAUGACCAACAACACUGAUCAAAGAUGACAGCAAUCAAUGACAUCAGUAAUCACAGGUUAGUCAAGUUUGUCAAUGAACAGGAAUAUUGAUGACCAAAUAUCUCAGAAACUAGAGCUGAGAGGAAGCUCAGCACCUGGGAGGAAGCAAAUGGAGAUGGCUUUUGCAGGAGCCUUGCUGAGCCCUCAGGGGUGAACCACAGGCUGGAGAAACCACAGCCUCCCUGCGCUUCCCUAGUAUCCUCCCAUCCACUAGGACAAAUCAGACCCAGACCAAAUCAGUGACUAAAUCAGACCCAGGCCCAACAGGGCCAGACCCCAGAUUCCAGGGGCCUUCCCCUUGCAGCCACCACAGCAAUAAAAGCAAUGCAAUCUGGCUGCCCAAAUUCGCACCCGGGACUCAGCCUCCCGGGAGCCCACAAGACAGGCCAGAGGCAUUCACAAAAAGUAUUUUAUUAUUCUUAACAGUACUCACUUUUAAGGAAUAAGAGGAUAGCAUACAUUUUUUACAGACAAUAUAUAAAUGUUGUACAUAAUUAACAAUAACUUAGUUCACUAAUCCAAAAUAAAACAAGCCAAAUAAAACAUAAAAACAGAAAAUACUGCUGAUUCUUUUUCUUAUGCGGACACUAGUACAAAAUAAGUUACUUCCGGCCAUGGUGCUCCCCGCAGCGACUGCCCGCCCAUAUUGCACUUGGUCACUACAUCAGCACAAUCCUCCUCCUGGGCCAGGGGCCCCUCAACAGCCACCAUACCCCACCAUCACCGCAUACAGAAUCUAAGCUUGGGACACAUUUAUAUACAGCUGUACCUUGGGAAGGAUCCAGACAGCCACAGCCAAGCUGGACCCAGGACCCCAGCAGGGACACAGCUUCUCCCUGGGUCCUGGUCCUGACCUGCCCCCAACUCCUGCCUUCACCCCCUGCUAGGCCAGCAAAUGCCAACCAGCUCCCAGAAACCAAGGGCAGCAAAGGCUCCUCCCCACCCCCAGCUUUCAUACUAGGGCUGUGGGAUCUCAGCACUUUCCCAAAAACAAUUGCGAAGUGCCAGCCUUGUGUGUGGUUUUUAUUCCUUUUAGAGCAGGGCUUCUGUGGCUACGUACAAUCAUCUGGACCCAACAAGAGUUUAAAAAUAAAACAAUUAACUCAUCAGUGAGUUAAGCUUAUGUAUUUUUUUUUAAUAUUUUUUCUUUUGUCUCAGAGUAGGAGGGGAGAGGGUUGAAGGGUUAGCAGAAAAAGGUUGUAUUUACAGGGUCCACCUGACAAACAAGACAGACUGUGGCUUGCGCUCAGUAAGGGGACACAGUCACACCAGCUUCAGCCUCAAAGCCAAGGGAGCGAUCUGGGAGACGUUUCCCCUUUCAAGAAAAUGUUGUUUCCUUCCUGUGACCCAGCCCUGGCCUGGGAAUCUGUGCAGGACCGCCCGUGAUUGUCUCUGCCCUCCAGGGCCGGGCCCAUCGAAGGAGGCACCAGCUCACCCUCCCCAGGCCGUGGCCCCUCUGGCUUUGGCUCAGCCCAGCCUGGAAUUUGGCUGUUUCAGAGAGGGAAGCCAGAGGAGAAGGGGGUGUGGGCUGAGGUCUCUGCAGAUCUGUCCCCCAGAGCCCUGGCAAGUGGACCCGCCAAGUCCCGAGGAAGAACCAGAGGACUUGGGACAGCUCAGACCACCAAGUCUCCAAGUCCUUGUUAGAAACAAGAGCAAAAUAAA